RNAcentral lists this non-coding RNA (29 nucleotides) under Mus musculus (house mouse). Lineage: Eukaryota; Metazoa; Chordata; Mammalia; Rodentia; Muridae. The record is from RNAcentral.
CAAAUGNGUUCAGGUAGUAAGGUCAAGUC